CUUUUUUAUCGACUUUUUAAUGAAAUAAUAUUUCACACAUGUGAAAUGGAACAUUAUACCACCAGAAACAAGAGAGCCACAGAACCAAGAACACCAGCAUAACCAAAAGAACCCGAAAAACCAAGAGAAACAAAAUAACCAAAAGAAGCACAAGAACCACGAUAACCAGUAUAAAACAAUAAAAAACAGAUUAACCAAGAGAACUAGAAAGAUCAAGGGAAACACACAAGAACAAAGAGAAUCAGAGGACUAAUAGAACCACAAGAACCAAUUGGGUUAGCAACGUGUAUGUUUUGCUGACCCUAGCUAAUAAUCCUCAAACUGAGGGGUUUGCUGUACUGGAAGAUAAAUAGAACCAGAGGACCACGAGAAUCAAAAGAACCACGAGAACCAGAGGACUAAGAGAAUAACAAGAACCAAAAGAACGAAAUGAAGAGAACCAGAGGGAACAAGAGAACCAAGAGAACCAGUGGAUCCAGAGAACCAAGAGAACCAAGAGAACCACGACAACCAAGAGGACCACAAGAACCAGAGAACCACGAAAACAACAAGAAAUAAGAGAACGAUGAACCAGAAGAACUAGCAAGCCAAGAGACCCAGAAGAACGAAGAGGAGCAGAAAUUCAAGAUGCUGAAGAAAUGCAGAACCAUAGGGACGAAAAAACCAAGAGAACCAAAAUAUGUUGCAAGAGCUAUCAGCAAAUGUUGCAAGUCUUUGUUAUUUACUGUAUUGCACGAAAUUAUAUUGAAGAAUGUUUGCAGUACUGUGAAUGAAUUCCAUUUCACAAAGACAAAUACAUCAUCACAUAAUACCCUUGCACUUAGACAUUUUGUUACAUCUGUAUGAUAAUGCAUUAUGCUUUAUUAAAUAUGUGAAAAUUCUCAAGAACCAAAAAUAGAAACGACAAUCUUCGAAGAGUUAUUUUUCAUAAAAAUAUCACUUCAUACAAUU
Non-coding RNA from Paramuricea clavata, 951 nucleotides. The record is from the annotation of a GenBank genome assembly. NCBI's taxonomy places the organism in Eukaryota, Metazoa, Cnidaria, Anthozoa, Malacalcyonacea, Plexauridae.